RNAcentral lists this ribosomal RNA (476 nucleotides) under uncultured bacterium. RNAcentral's name for it is "partial 16S ribosomal RNA". It matches the Rfam family "Bacterial small subunit ribosomal RNA", at positions 28 to 523 of the family's 1533-position model. The record is from RNAcentral.
GACGAACGCUGGCGGCGUGCCUAACACAUGCAAGUCGAGCGAUGAAGUUCUUCGGAACGGAUUAGCGGCGGACGGGUGAGUAACACGUGGGUAACCUGCCUUGUAGAAGGGGAUAGCCUUCCGAAAGGAAGAUUAAUACCGCAUAACAUCUUUUUAUCGCAUGGUAGAAAGAUCAAAGGAGUAAUCCGCUACAAGAUGGACCCGCGGCGCAUUAGCUAGUUGGUGAGGUAACGGCUCACCAAGGCGACGAUGCGUAGCCGACCUGAGAGGGUGAUCGGCCACAUUGGAACUGAGACACGGUCCAGACUCCUACGGGAGGCAGCAGUGGGGAAUAUUGCGCAAUGGGGGAAACCCUGACGCAGCAACGCCGCGUGAAUGAAGAAGGCCUUAGGGUUGUAAAGUUCUGUUUACGGGGACGAUAAUGACGGUACCCGUGGAGGAAGCCACGGCUAACUACGUGCCAGCAGCCGCAGUAA